Molecule: ribosomal RNA, 207 nt
Filed under: uncultured bacterium
Lineage: Bacteria
Description: partial 16S ribosomal RNA
Rfam family: Bacterial small subunit ribosomal RNA
Source: RNAcentral
AGCGUAGGCGGACUUUUAAGUGGGAUGUGAAAUACCCGGGCUUAACCUGGGUGCUGCAUUCCAAACUGGGAGUCUAGAGUGCAGGAGGGGAAAGUGGAAUUCCUAGUGUAGCGGUGAAAUGCGUAGAGAUUAGGAAGAACACCAGUGGCGAAGGCGACUUUCUGGACUGUAACUGACGCUGAGGCUCGAAAGCGUGGGGAGCGAACA